RNAcentral lists this long non-coding RNA (564 nucleotides) under Eucalyptus grandis. RNAcentral's name for it is "long non-coding RNA (EGRA_LNC007740)". Lineage: Eukaryota; Viridiplantae; Streptophyta; Magnoliopsida; Myrtales; Myrtaceae. The record is from RNAcentral.
UCAUCAUGAACAAGAUGACAAAUUCAUCAAUUGCCCCUCCCUAUCUCUUUUCAAUAAUGCAAAGUCAGUGGCCGUCAUUUUUUGCUCCACUACCGUAUGUUCUUCCAGUAGUUGGAGGCUCUGAUGAAAGCAACAUAUCUCCUUGGAAUACAUGCGGAUGCUUUGACAUGAAUAAAAGGGGGAAGAAAGAAAAGAAAAGAGAUUGAGCUCCAAAGGGUCGAUGGAAUAAUUGUCUGAAUCAGCGAGGAACAUGAGGUCUCGUCCUCACAAAUCUUCUAGGCCAUGACAAGAAUUGCCUCGUCUUUGAUCGGAGCUGGAGAACCAGGUUUGUCUUGAUGUCCGAUGCUCGAUUGGCGAUUCCCCAUUUCUCUUUAUAUGUUUAACUUAAAUGGGUGACUGGCUUUAUGUAUAAUCAUGGUCAAUAUUUUCUAUAUGCAAAGUUGAAUCUGGGUCUUGAACCCAUAAAGCAUUGGAUUGAUUGAUUGAUUGAGGUCUUCACUAUUUUAAAGUCAAAGCCACACAGGCAAAAGCAUAGUGAAAAGGGUACGAUGAGGAAGACGGCAC